CCUACGGGUGGCAGCAGUGGGGGAUAUUGCACAAUGGAGGAAACUCUGAUGCAGCGACGCCGCGUGAGGGAAGACGGUCUUCGGAUUGUAAACCUCUUUUGUCAGGGAGCAAAGUCACCCACGUGUGGGUGUUGGAGAGUACCUGAAGAAAAAGCAUCGGCUAACUCCGUGCCAGCAGCCGCGGUAAUACGGAGGAUGCGAGCGUUAUCCGGAUUUAUUGGGUUUAAAGGGUGCGUAGGCGGGUUAUCAAGUCAGCAGUAAAAUCGUGGAGCUCAACUCCAUCCAGCCGUUGAAACUGAUGAUCUUGAGUGGGCGAGAAGUAUGCGGAAUGCGUGGUGUAGCGGUGAAAUGCAUAGAUAUCACGCAGAACUCCGAUUGCGAAGGCAGCAUACCGGCGCCCGACUGACGCUGAAGCACGAAAGCGUGGGUAUCGAACAGGAUUAGAUACCCCUGUAGUC
This 458-nucleotide ribosomal RNA is filed under the name uncultured bacterium. Its description in RNAcentral is "partial 16S ribosomal RNA". It matches the Rfam family "Bacterial small subunit ribosomal RNA", at positions 338 to 795 of the family's 1533-position model. The record is from RNAcentral.